Molecule: long non-coding RNA, 603 nt
Filed under: Panax ginseng (ginseng)
Lineage: Eukaryota; Viridiplantae; Streptophyta; Magnoliopsida; Apiales; Araliaceae
Description: long non-coding RNA (PGIN_LNC016632)
Source: RNAcentral
UUCUAUUUAAAUCCUAAAUUCUAUUAAAAACCCUAUUUUUAAUUAGUAUGUUUUAAUUAAAAUUUUGCUACACUUCAAUUUUUAAUUGUCCAAACCCUAGUAAUUAUUUGGGAAACAUUAAGAUGUAAAAUCUAGUGAAUAAAUACUAGAUUCAAGCACCUUAGACAAGAAUACCCUUGAGAUUAAAAUGAAUUUACAAAAAUGCCCUUUUUGUCCCAUUUGGUGUAUUAUUGUUGGAAGAUCUUAUCAAAUCAGCAGCCACCCUAGUCUACACUUCCUAAUUGUGAGCUACAACACCAGCACAUCAGCUACUAACAACCAAGUACAUUGCAUCAAUUCAUUUGCAUAAUUUAAGAGAGAGAAAACCACAAAACAAAGUUAUUUGAUCACUUAUACUUAGCCAUAUUCUCUCAAGCUCAAACCCACGAAAUUUUAGUGUUAGUUCAGUCACAAAUCAAGCCCCACGAACACCAACAUCAAAUCAGAAGCAUAGAAAUCAGAAUUGGAGCAUAAAGGUGCAAACCCUAAAAAUUCGAAAAUCUUUUGAUCUUAUGUUAUAUGUAAUUUUUUUUGUGUUAAAUAUGUUGUAUGGGGUGUUAAUCG